GAGCUGCCUGCUCCAUGCACUACGACGGGGCAGCGAUCUGGUUGGCAGUUGGGGGUUGCGAAAUACCAUUUCCCGAGGCUGUGAAGGUCCCGUCGGCAGUAACAGCUGUGGCGAGAAAAUCCGAAGAAGUGUCUCCGGCAGCUUCGGGAGCUCAAGCAUGUCCGUGAGAGGGCCUCAAAGUCUCUUCAAAGACCUACGUUAUCUCUACACAGAGAUUCUACUUCUCAUAACAGACAGAGGAUAAACAGCAGUAGGCAUAAUACAUGGAGUUUCCCCCACUCUUAUUCUCCCGGCCUUGGCAUUCCCAGCUACAAGGUUCCUUGAGCAAAUCUACCAUCCUCCUCACCAUUCUUCUACUUUUAAACCUUUCCUCCCAACAGUGUCUGAAGCAGACAACCUUUCAGUGAAAAAUGUGUAUUUAUGAUUGGCUUUUUGCAAAUAUUAAAAUGAAUAUUAUAUGUUAUGUUAGAAAGUGAUGCUGUAUUAAUUUUAAGUAGUGUGUUAAAUAUAGUUUUAGAUUAUAACAAAAUGUUAAAAUAGAAACUAUGCUAUGUAAGAUACUUUUUUUAAAGGAAGGACUCACACUGAGAUAGCAGCCACAGGACACCCACAUCUUUCAGAGAAAAAGAAUUUAUUGCUCUCUUAUCAGAAGAAACUAACUUCUUCCCACCUCACUCAGCCCUGAAGACACCAUUAGGAUUAAGAGGAAGAAGCUGACACUGACCAGACAGAAUCCUUUGUUUGAAUGGAAUUUAUGUAUAAUGUAUGAGAUGUAUGAAUAUGCAACAGGUUAUUGCUUUUAAGGGUUAAUCCUCUGUUAAUGGGUGUCCUUUUUCGGGCUUAUUUUGCCCAGAAAAAGGUACCCGGACUGUCCUAACUGUUUGUUUCUAUUGUCUCAUAUUGUCCUAAUCCUAAUUGUCCAAAUUUUUAUUACUCUAAUUAUAUUACUAUUUUUAUAAUCAUUUUAUUACUGUUAAACUUUUAAAAUUUUAAAACCAAGUGAUUGGCGUUUUUCACAAUUUCCACACGAUGAGUCUCUUGCCAGAAGCAUACAGAUUUAGUUUGGGACUACAAGCCAGGACCCUUUGAGCUAACUCAGUCAGUCUCCCCAUCCCCAGCUGCUGAAGUCUCCCUGCACCAGGUUGGCAUGAGGCCUUUAAGGCCUCUAAGACUCAAAAUUACUGUUGGAUAAAGUUGGAUUCCCAAAGGAGUGAAAAAGACUAGAUCUCAUUUUCUAAUAGAGCCAAGGCUUUAUUUUAAUUUGUCUUACUGUGUCCUUUUUCCAGAGUGAACAUUUGCAGUCAUGGCCUUGAUGCUGCCUAGAGCUGCUGUGAGCCUGUGGGCUAUGCCCUGGGUUUGUGGGAGACCAAGGGCAGAGAUUUCCUCAUUCCUUUGAAAUGGGCAUAGACUGUGCUGCUGUAUACAGUGGGGCCAGCUCUGUGCUCUCUGCUCCAGGGAGCUGGUGUCAGAGCCAGACCAUCUCAUAAUGUGAAGGGUUUGUCAAAUUGUCUGUACUUUGUACCUGUAUUUGUAUACUGGUGCUUUACUUGAUCACUGUAGUUUGGAGCCCAGAGAAGUGGUUUUGCCUGAAGCAUGCAGCUCUAGGUCUGACUUCAAUAACCUUGCACUAGCCAGGGAAGGUGGCAGUGUUGAGACCUGUGCCUGUGUGUCCCCUCUAUCCCCGGGGGGAGGGGUCUGUCCUAACCACACUGCAUGGCUCUGGGCUCCUUUGUGAGACAGUGAGCAAGGGUGAAGGGGCACCUACUCCCACCUGGUGUUUGGUGCAGCUAAUUUUGUAUGAGGAAGGUCCCACAACCACAUUAGCCAAGCUUUUGGCAAGCCUUCUCUCCCACAAGAGGGAAGAAAUAGUUUGGAACUGCAAGGCAAAGGGUGAGUUGAGGGAAACAGGACAUGACUGAGAAGUGUGAAGUAGGAGCUGCUGAGGCCUACCUUGAAUGCUGAAGGGGCCCUAAGAGGACUUUGCCCUGCAAUUCCUUCAGAAAAAGUAACUCAGACAGUGAGGGAUGAACAGAAGGGAUUGAAAACCCAGAUGCUGGGGGAAAACACUGUCUUGGUUCUGGCCAAGACAGGGUUCACUUUUGCAGUAGUCGGGAGGGAGGUUAUUCUAUACCACCUCACAUCAUUGCCGGGGGCGGGGGAAAGGGAUUCUUGCUUCUGAGAAGGGGUUCCUCCAGGCUGAGAAAACGUGGCAGACUAGUCUGGCAUUUGUUUAUUGUUGGGGGCUUUCCAUGUAAAUUGGUUUUUUUUCUUAUACCUUUUGUUAUUAAUAUUGUUGCUGCUACUGUUCAGUUUUCUGAUUUCAUUGCUGUUUCCAGUAAAUUGUUCUUAUCUCAA
Long non-coding RNA from Serinus canaria (Common canary), 2355 nucleotides. RefSeq lists it as uncharacterized. The record is from RefSeq and is a predicted model, not a curated record. NCBI's taxonomy places the organism in Eukaryota, Metazoa, Chordata, Aves, Passeriformes, Fringillidae. The transcript is spliced from 2 exons.